RNAcentral lists this ribosomal RNA (1256 nucleotides) under metagenome. RNAcentral's name for it is "bacterial LSU rRNA". It matches the Rfam family "Bacterial large subunit ribosomal RNA", at positions 1689 to 2925 of the family's 2925-position model. The record is from RNAcentral.
CUCGGGUGAACUGUGGUUAAGGAACUCGGCAAAUUGCCCCCGUAACUUCGGGAGAAGGGGGACCUCUGCUGGUGAUGGGCUUUACGUCUGGAGCUGGUGGGGGUCGCAGUGGCCAGGGGGAAGCGACUGUUUACUAAAAACACAGGUCCGUGCGAAGUCGUAAGACGAUGUAUACGGACUGACGCCUGCCCGGUGCCGGAACGUUAAGGGGACCGCUUAGCCGACGCAAGUUGGCGAAGGUGAGAACUUAAGCGCCGGUAAACGGCGGUGGUAACUAUAACCAUCCUAAGGUAGCGAAAUUCCUUGUCGGGUAAGUUCCGACCUGCACGAAUGGCGUAACGACUUCCCCGCUGUCUCAACCACAGACCCGGCGAAAUUGCACUACGAGUAAAGAUGCUCGUUUCGCGCAGCAGGACGGAAAGACCCCGGGACCUUCACUACAGCUUGACAUUGGCGUUUGGAGCGUCUUGUGUAGGAUAGGUGGGAGACUGGGAAGCUGUCACGCUAGUGAUGGUGGAGUCAUUGGUGAAAUACCACUCUGGUCGUUUUGAACGUCUAACUCUGGUCCGUGAUCCGGAUCGGGGACAGUGUCUGGUGGGUAGUUUAACUGGGGCGGUUGCCUCCUAAAGAGUAACGGAGGCGCCCAAAGGUUCCCUCAGCCUGGUUGGCAAUCAGGUGUUGAGUGUAAGUGCACAAGGGAGCUUGACUGUGAGACUGACAGGUCGAGCAGGAGCGAAAGCUGGGACUAGUGAUCCGGCAUCGGCGUGUGGAAGCGGUGUCGCUCAACGGCUAAAAGGUACCCCGGGGAUAACAGGCUGAUCUUCCCCAAGAGUCCAUAUCGACGGGAUGGUUUGGCACCUCGAUGUCGGCUCGUCGCAUCCUGGGGCUGGAGUAUGUCCCAAGGGUUGGGCUGUUCGCCCAUUAAAGCGGUACGCGAGCUGGGUUUAGAACGUCGCGAGACAGUUCGGCCCCUAUCCGCUGCGCGCGCAGGAGACUUGAAGGGGGCUGUCCCUAGUACGAGAGGACCGGGGCGGACGAACCUCUGGUGUGCCAGUUGUACCGCCAGGUGCACGGCUGGUUGGCUACGUUCGGAAGGGAUAACCGCUGAAAGCAUCUAAGCGGGAAGCUCGCCUUGAGAUGAGGUCUCCCACCCUGUGAGGGGGUAAGGCUCCCGGUAGUCGACCGGGUUGAUAGGCCGGAGGUGGAAGCACGGUAACGUGUGGAGCUGACCGGUACUAAUAGGCCGAGGACUUGAC